GGUGAUGGGCAGCGCUGCUCUGACAGUGGCAUUCACCUGUGGUGCCUCAGGUGAGAGUCCGGCCCUGUGAUAACCUCAGGAAAGGUGUGUCCACUCAAGGAGUGCUGGGCAGACAGACCACCACGUGCUGCCAUCUCCAGGAAUGCAGAGGGGGAGGCCACUUGGAGGCCCUGGGAGAAGAGAACGGACUGCGCCUCUAGGCAGACGUGCCUUUCACCUUCCACCAUGAUCGCAGGGCCUCCCC
RNAcentral lists this long non-coding RNA (244 nucleotides) under Homo sapiens (human). Its description in RNAcentral is "HSALNT0207487". The record is from RNAcentral. Lineage: Eukaryota; Metazoa; Chordata; Mammalia; Primates; Hominidae.